Molecule: long non-coding RNA, 759 nt
Organism: Daphnia pulex (common water flea)
Lineage: Eukaryota; Metazoa; Arthropoda; Branchiopoda; Diplostraca; Daphniidae
Exons: 2
Source: RefSeq, a predicted model, not a curated record
UCUGUCUAUGUUCAAACAGCAUAUUGGGAAAACCCAAAUAAGUGGGUCACUCAUUUCAAAACAGGUUUGAAAGAUAAACAACUACUACGUCACAAUAUCGCUAACAUAGGUUCGUAGUUGCAUUCAGCAAUUGACUAUAUCUGUUGGGUAAUCCCAUUGUCCUUCAACUAACUUGGAAAUUCCAGACCUUAAAAAAUCAAAUAAUUGUCACUUAAAAUGAGAGAAAGGGUUUGUGCGGGUGAUACGUUAACGGCGAUGUGUAUAUAAAGAGCGUAAAAUUUCGCUUUUCAUCACCAGACAUCAGUUGGCUUAGCAAUACUAAUCAACUAAACAGAAGAAAAUAAUCAAAAAAUUUCAACAUGAUCAAGGGUAUGUUGAUUCUUUUUGUCUUCGUUGCCGUAUGUGUACUAUUGGUAUCAGCACAACAUGAGUACACGGAAAACUAUCCCAUUAUCAAUUAUCGCAUAACUAGAUUCAGUCGUGACGUUGAAUCUCAGAUGAUGGCAAAGAGGAAUAGAUUUCCUGGAUGGCUGUUUGGUUAAUAUGUUUGGAAAAAUAAUAUUUAUUUGAUUGCUUGUCUGUAGCAUUGAUAAAACUGCUCCGUAGUCAAGACAACGGCUAAAAACAAGAAUUGCAGAAUUUUCAAAUAUCUGCUGUUCUUAUUUAUUAUUCGAUGUCUCAGUAUUUAUUUGAAACAAUAAAAGUGUAAUAUUGCUUGUGGUUUCAUGGUAUUUAAGUAAUAUAAAUUCUGAAACAGAA